Molecule: ribosomal RNA, 111 nt
Filed under: Callithrix jacchus (white-tufted-ear marmoset)
Lineage: Eukaryota; Metazoa; Chordata; Mammalia; Primates; Cebidae
Source: RNAcentral
GUCUACGGCCAUACCACCCUGAAUGCGCCCGAUCUCGUGUGAUCUUGGAAGCUAAGCAGGGUCGGGCCUGGUUAGUACUUGGAUGGGAGAAAGAAUUGAUGACCGGUGGCA